RNAcentral lists this ribosomal RNA (281 nucleotides) under uncultured Staphylococcus sp. Its description in RNAcentral is "partial 16S ribosomal RNA". It matches the Rfam family "Bacterial small subunit ribosomal RNA", at positions 81 to 354 of the family's 1533-position model. Lineage: Bacteria; Bacillati; Bacillota; Bacilli; Caryophanales; Staphylococcaceae. The record is from RNAcentral.
CUCCUUUGACGUUAGCGGCGGACGGGUGAGUAACACGUGGGUAACCUACCUAUAAGACUGGGAUAACUUCGGGAAACCGGAGCUAAUACCGGAUAAUAUUUCGAACCGCAUGGUUCGAUAGUGAAAGGUGGUUUUGCUAUCACUUAUAGAUGGACCCGCGCCGUAUUAGCUAGUUGGUAAGGUAACGGCUUACCAAGGCGACGAUACGUAGCCGACCUGAGAGGGUGAUCGGCCACACUGGAACUGAUACACGGUCCAGACUCCUACGGGAGGCAGCAGAC